CCUACGGGAGGCAGCAGUGAGGAAUAUUGGUCAAUGGACGAGAGUCUGAACCAGCCAAGUAGCGUGAAGGAUGACUGCCCUAUGGGUUGUAAACUUCUUUUAUAAAGGAAUAAAACGAGGCACGUGUGCCUUUUUGCAUGUACGUUAUGAAUAAGGAUCGGCGAACGCCGGGCCAGCAGCCGCGGUAAUACGGAGGGUGCGAGCGUUAAUCGGAAUUACUGGGCGUAAAGAGCGAGUAGGCGGUAUGUCAAGUCAAGGGUGAAAUCCCCGCGCUCAACGUGGGAACUGCCUUUGAAACUGGCAAACUUGAGUGUGUGAGAGGAUAGUGUAAUUCCAGGUGUAGGCGUGAACUCCGUAGAUAUCUGGAGGAACAUCAGUGGCGAAGGCGACUCUCUGGCUCAUACCUGACGCUGAGGCGCGACAGCGUGGGUAGCAAACAGGAUUAGAUACCCUUGUAGUC
RNAcentral lists this ribosomal RNA (460 nucleotides) under uncultured bacterium. RNAcentral describes it as "partial 16S ribosomal RNA". It matches the Rfam family "Bacterial small subunit ribosomal RNA", at positions 338 to 795 of the family's 1533-position model. The record is from RNAcentral.